Molecule: signal recognition particle RNA, 96 nt
Filed under: Candidatus Ruthia endofausta
Lineage: Bacteria; Pseudomonadati; Pseudomonadota; Gammaproteobacteria; Pseudothioglobaceae (SeqCode)
Description: signal recognition particle sRNA small type
Rfam family: Bacterial small signal recognition particle RNA
About the family: The signal recognition particle (SRP) is a universally conserved ribonucleoprotein involved in the co-translational targeting of proteins to membranes. Archaeal SRP consists of a 7S RNA and homologues of the eukaryotic SRP19 and SRP54 proteins. In most bacteria, the SRP consists of a 4.5S RNA and the Ffh protein (a homologue of the eukaryotic SRP54 protein).
Source: RNAcentral
CAAGGGUGUACCAACAAUAAAUGGUUAUGAACCCCGCCAGAUCUGGAAGGAAGCAACGGUAAUAAUUUUUUUUUGUGUUGGAUGAUAUUCUUGGUG